This 2782-nucleotide unclassified non-coding RNA is filed under the name Leishmania donovani. RNAcentral's name for it is "gene:unknown". The record is from RNAcentral. Lineage: Eukaryota; Euglenozoa; Kinetoplastea; Trypanosomatida; Trypanosomatidae.
CAGAAGAAGUGGUGCAGGUGUGCCGUACCGCAUACCAGACAUAAAGCCCCAAGUCUGCGUAUGGACCUGUUGGCAGCGGCGCCGCCACUGCUGCCGAUGAUUCUCGCAUCGUGCGCCUUUUCGCCUUCAUAGAGCCGCUGCGCAGCCGGUCGUCGGCGCGCUUCCCUUCCUUACUUCAUCAUUUGCGCACUCACUCUUCCGCUAGGAUGCCUCCCUCGCUCUGCUGUUCGAAACCUUUUAUCCGCCGAUGCUUAGCCGACCGUGUAUACCCGUAAGGAAGCGAUAGCAAGGGGACAGCUGGAGGCUAACCACCACGCACCGCCACCGCAACGCCCGUGGGUAGUUUUGAACCUGUGCGCCACAUGAUCUGUUAUGCUUUCAACAAGCGUCGGCCGCACAGCCUCCAGCAUGCCGACUCGCCUUCGGCAACGCACAAGAGGGCCCGGCAAGGCAACGGAGGUGCCGAGGAGAGCCCUCCCCACCUGGCGGGCAGACGAGGUCUCGGCAAGGCAGACGAGGUCUCGGCAAGGCAGACGAGGUCUCGGCAAGGCAGACGAGUCCCGGCAAGGCAGACGAGUCCCGGCAAGGCAGACGAGUCUCGGCAAGGCAAAGGAGCGCCGGCAGUGCAGAGGAGCCCCGGCAAGCCAGCGAGGGGCCCGGCAAGGCAACGGAGGUGCCGAGGAGAGCCCUCCCCACCUGGCGGGCAGACGAGGUCUCGGCAAGGCAGACGAGGUCUCGGCAAGGCAGACGAGUCUCGGCAAGGCAAAGGAGCGCCGGCAGUGCAGAGGAGCCCCGGCAAGCCAGCGAGGGGCCCGGCAAGGCAACGGAGGUGCCGAGGAGAGCCCUCCCCACCUGGCGGGCAGACGAGGUCUCGGCAAGGCAGACGAGUCCCGGCAAGGCAGACGAGCCCCGGCAAGGCAGACGAGUCCCGGCAAGGCAGACGAGCCCCGGCAAGGCAGACGAGUCUCGGCAAGGCAGACGAGUCUCGGCAAGGCAGACGAGUCUCGGCAAGGCAAAGGAGCGCCGGCAGUGCAGAGGAGCCCCGGCAAGCCAGCGAGGGGCCCGGCAAGGCAACGGAGGUGCCGAGGAGAGCCCUCCCCACCUGGCGGGCAGACGAGGUCCCGGCAAGGCAGACGAGGUCUCGGCAAGGCAGACGAGUCCCGGCAAGGCAGACGAGUCUCGGCAAGGCAGACGAGUCCCGGCAAGGCAGACGAGUCUCGGCAAGGCAGACGAGUCCCGGCAAGGCAGACGAGGUCUCGGCAAGGCAGACGAGUCCCGGCAAGGCAGACGAGUCCCGGCAAGGCAGACGAGUCUCGGCAAGGCAAAGGAGCGCCGGCAGUGCAGAGGAGCCCCGGCAAGCCAGCGAGGGGCCCGGCAAGGCAACGGAGGUGCCGAGGAGAGCCCUCCCCACCUGGCGGGCAGACGAGGUCUCGGCAAGGCAGACGAGCCCCGGCAAGGCAGACGAGUCCCGGCAAGGCAGACGAGUCCCGGCAAGGCAGACGAGUCUCGGCAAGGCAAAGGAGCGCCGGCAGUGCAGAGGUGCCCCGGCAAGCCAGCGAGGGGCCCGGCAAGGCAACGGAGGUGCCGAGGAGAGCCCUCCCCACCUGGCGGGCAGACGAGGUCUCGGCAAGGCAGACGAGUCCCGGCAAGGCAGACGAGUCUCGGCAAGGCAGACGAGUCCCGGCAAGGCAGACGAGUCCCGGCAAGGCAGACGAGUCUCGGCAAGGCAGACGAGUCUUGGCAAGGCAGACGAGUCUCGGCAAGGCAGACGAGUCCCGGCAAGGCAGACGAGUCUCGGCAAGGCAGACGAGUCCCGGCAAGGCAGACGAGUCCCGGCAAGGCAGACGAGUCCCGGCAAGGCAGACGAGUCCCGGCAAGGCAGACGAGUCUCGGCAAGGCAGACGAGUCUCGGCAAGGCAAAGGAGCGCCGGCAGUGCAGAGGAGCCCCAGCAAGCCAGCGAGGGGCCCGGCAAGGCAACGGAGGUGCCGAGGAGAGCCCUCCCCACCUGGCGGGCAGACGAGGUCUCGGCAAGGCAGACGAGGUCUCGGCAAGGCAGACGAGUCCCGGCAAGGCAGACGAGUCCCGGCAAGGCAGACGAGUCUCGGCAAGGCAGACGAGGUCUCGGCAAGGCAGACGAGUCCCGGCAAGGCAGACGAGUCCCGGCAAGGCAGACGAGUCUCGGCAAGGCAGACGAGUCCCGGCAAGGCAGACGAGUCCCGGCAAGGCAGACGAGUCUCGGCAAGGCAAAGGAGCGCCGGCAGUGCAGAGGAGCCCCGGCAAGCCAGCGAGGGGCCCGGCAAGGCAACGGAGGUGCCGAGGAGAGCCCUCCCCACCUGGUGGGCAGACGAGGUCUCGGCGAGGCAGAACACCGGAAAGCCGAAGAUAGCCCCGCAAACCGUGUGUGUGCUUACAGGGAGCUCGCGGACGCCAGAGCGGAGAACCACCGGCGAACCCAACCGGCUACGACAGAGGCGCCCUGCAAAAGGCUCGUUUGGAUAGCCUGGGAAAGCCGCAUGGCGUUGAAGCGCACUGAAGCAGCCAUCUUGGGCCUACUAAGCGCUACGCCACUGUAUAUGGUUUUAAGCGAAGUGAAUGUUUUCCUUGCUUCAAGGCACGCGAAUGACAAGCCUAGCAGUGGGAAGCAACGCCGGGUACUGGGUUACGGGCUAGGUCCGGAUGAGGCACUAGCUACCGGCGCGUGGACUAGCACUCAGCCAUCAGAGCACUAUAGUAUGGCAGGUGACUGAGGCAGCAGAAAGGAUCGCUUGUGUCGGAAGCAAC